Long non-coding RNA from Gorilla gorilla gorilla (western lowland gorilla), 11430 nucleotides. RefSeq lists it as uncharacterized. The transcript is spliced from 2 exons. The record is from RefSeq and is a predicted model, not a curated record. Lineage: Eukaryota; Metazoa; Chordata; Mammalia; Primates; Hominidae.
CUUGAAGAUAGGUUAUCCGUGUUGCCUUCGCUUUAUUUGUGACGAAUCAUACACGGUUGACCUAUUUUUCAGUACCAAAUCCCGCCUUGGAGGGCUUCCUGGAGCGGAGUCUCACUUCAGGGUGGGACCUUGGUGUCAGCUCCUCUCCAGGGUAAGGAAAGGGACCGUUGACCAUAGCCGACCCAGCAGUGUGCCCUGGCCCUAACCCUGUGUGUGCCCCGUCCUUGGGGAGGUUUCUAGAGAUGGUGCCAGCUUUGGGGAAGAAGUGGAGCUUUUCCUGUCAGAGCUACUCUGUGGUACUGGUGGAGAGGUCUUCCAUGAUGCAUUCAAUUUAUUUUUUGACCAAUCCUACAUAGUGGACUCUUUUGAAAGCAUUAAAUCUAGCCUUAAAGCACCCCCGGGUGGUGCCGAGUUUAGGAACUAGAACUGGUGUCUGAAUGCCUGAACGCACAGCGAAGCUGACAGUGUGCACACUCUUCUUGGUGGGUCGUGCACCUGCAGGCGUCCUGCUUGCUCACCAUGGCGGUUUCCUCGAAAGAGGCGGCAGUUCCCUCAUCGGCUCACUGCAUGUUUGACAAGACACCGUCUUGCUGUCUUCCCUGCUGCCCUCUCUUCACGUAUCACAGAUGGUGCUCUGCAGACCUCUCUGCUGUGGCACUUCCCUCCCUGAAUGGCUUCCUGCAAGAGGUGCUAAUUGCAAGUAAGGGAUGGAGGGCGGCCCGGACCGCAGAGCUUACUUCGUGGGUGGUGUGUUGCCACCUUCCUGACUCUCAGUAUCCCGUCCGUCCUCAGGCCUGCUGCUGGGACGCGCUGGAAGCGAGCACCCAAGUCAGGUACUCGAAUGGAGGUUGUCCAUGGUGUGUUCAUUUUAUUUAUGAUGAGUAUUACAUGGCCAAUCUCCUUUCGGUACUCAAUUCUUCUUGGGAAACGUCAUGAGGGGAAAGCCCAGCCGGCACCUGCGCAGGGUAAGGAAGUGGAUCACCUCCGCAUGACAGGUGCUCUCUGUGUGACUUACAUCACUUGGCCCAUGUCCCGGCCAUCAUUAGGAGGAAUUCCCCGAAAUGAUGCUGAUGUUUUAGUUGACCUGGUGGUCUUCUAGUCGCAUCCUUGAAGACUCGUUAGUGAAUAAACCACACUUAGUCAACCUCUUUAGGUGUGAAAUCAUCUUGGCUGUGUGGCACACUUUAGGGAAAGGAACUCCCGGCUGAAUGGAAGACAUCCACAUUACCCCCUCAAAUACCUUAUCUUCUGGGUGACCUCUGGGAAGCAAGGGGUGAAGGGGGUUUCCUCGGCAGUGAGAAUUAAUGUUGUUUAAAGACACGUUUCCAUGGCACGACUCAGUUAUUCCGACUGCAAGACGAGAAUUGUUAAUAGCAUUUAUUACUACCUUAUGUUGCCAGCUGUGUGCCCUUGGAAAAUCCCUUCACCUAUCAGCUCUCUGGGCCUCAGUCUCUUCCUCUGUAAAGCAGGGUUAACGGGGGAGUGGAAACGUGCUCUUUGUGAAGUGUCUAGACAGCGUCUGGCACAUGGCUGUAGGAUAAGCAUUGUUUCUGAGGAUGGUCAUUAUAUGAAUGUUGUGUCAUCUGCACUCAUUGUCCUCUCGCCACUAGAAUGGAAGCUCCCUGAGGGCAGAGUCCUUGUCUGUUUUGCCUGGCUCUGUGUCGCCAGAUGUGCACAGUAGGUGUGAUGCUGAAUGAAUGAAUAGGCAGCGUGACCUGUUUUCUUGGUUGAACUCUCUUUGAGGCCUCCUGGAAGGGAGUGCAUGGAGUACAGUCACCGGAGCCUGUGCUGUCCCUGUGACGCAGCCCCACCCACCCUCUGAGGAUGCUGCGCUGGACGAGGAGUCGCCAGCCUUCAGGUCGGGUCCUCCCUCAAACCCCUGUAGGCUGGACUGACCACGGUCACAUGGUUCAUUGGCAGCCCCCUUCUCUGUGUGAAAUCCUGCUUCAGGGACUUCCAGAGGAGAUACCGGCUCUGGAGCUGGACCUUGGUGUUCCAGCCCCUCUAGGGUAGGUGACCAGGGGCUGACUCUAGCUCGGGCUGACCUGCGAUGUGUGUGUGCAUAGCCUCGCCCACACUGCCUGCUCCAGGGCUACAGAAGCUGGUCCAUGACCAACCGUGUUCUGACCACUGCCUGGGGGGCUCCUCGGAGGUAGAGGGAGAGAGAGAGAGAGCAAGAGGGGAGAGAGCGAGCCAGCAAGCCAGCGAGCCCGCAGCUGGAGUCAGCAGGGAGGUCCCGCAGGCAAUGCCGCCUUUGGUGAAGAGGCAUCUCGGUGUGUUCUUGCCCGUGCUGAUGUUUGACCCUUGAGCAGAGGUUGCCCUUGGUGAAUUCGCUUUAUUUAUGUUGAAUCACACAAAGGCAACUUUUGUUUGAGUAUCAAAUCCUGCUUGGGAUGGCUUCCGGGACCCAGUGGCAAGCUCAGGGGCAUCUACACCCCUCCCGUGAGCAAGAAUGGACGGGGUAGACGUGGGUGGUCUGCCCUCUGCGGUCCUCUGCGGUGGAUGAGAACAGAUGUCGCUCAGAGAACACAAGCUUCAUUCAUGAUGGGGGCGGGGCUCGCGGCCCGGGGAGGAUGGCGUUGGUGUCGCGUCGGCUUUAGCUCUUACCCCGGACCAUCUCUCUUUACAUCACCAUUUUGGCUGUGUUGAUCCCAAAGACAUUUUGACUCCACAAUUUUUUUUCGGAAGGUAUUUGACCUCGCGGAUAAACAAAGAGCUCACACUUGACAAUGUCUGUGACGAGUCUGCAGCCCCAGACCCCCGUCUCGCUCACAAGCACUGUGCUUCUUUCUGCACCUUUCCUUGUCUCUAUCUUUCUCUUUCUAUCCCCCAACCAAACAUUGUUCCCAAUUUUCUCCUGGGUUAUGAAACAAAUAGAGGCUAUCAGUAUCUCAUCCCAUUUGUAUUAAAUAAUAGCGAUAAAAAUAAUCAACACAAAAUAAAACUAAAAACAGCUGAAACGGCACAGCGCUAAAUGUGUUCAGUUGACUACAAAUUGGCAGAAGAAUCCAAUUUUCUUGACAACAUUUCAGCUGUGACAUUUGACCUGGGGAAAUAGAAAGCUGCCGACGUGGCAGCCAUGGAAGGAAAUUCACGGUGGCGGCGGUGAUAAACAGUGAUAUUUGAUGUAGACAAAAACACACUGAGGAAUCAAAUCUUCAUGCAGAUUUUUAAAUGGAAAAGAAUUGAUCCUAAUGAAAAUGAUUUGGGGAAAAUAACAAGGGAAAUAAAAGAAAUGAAAACAGCUCAACAGCGCAGUCAGGAAAGCUAAACAGGGAACUGGAUUAGUAUAAUGGCAUUGGCUCUGAAAAACACGUUUUAUGAAAAUCAAUGUUGGUACAAUUCUUGUGAAGAUGGUUACAUUUGUGCAUCUUUACAGUGGAGUUGGUGGGGUCAGUAGGAACCUAGGGUCAAAAAAUGGGAUACAGUCUCCCCCUUUAUGCAGUUGAUCUUUUCUUGCUGCCCCAAACCUUCCCGAGAGCUUCCCGGAAAGGCGUGCUGACUUCAGGCGUGACACACUGGUAAGGCGUCCUCCCGGGGACCUGGGUGCAUGUUAUCCCCAGAGCAUUCACUACGUAAGUGACAGGCAUCACCUGGUCUCCCUCCAUCCCCACGGAGGGUUCUGGGUGAGAUGCUGACUCCGGAGGGAAGCAGAAGUUCUACGGUCGGUGGGGUCUGGUCUUUCAGGACAGUUGCUUCUGUGAACUCAGAAAAUCUGAGACAGCUCUUAGUUAAUUUAGAAAGUUUAUUUUGCCAAGGUUGAGGAUACACCCGUAACACAGCUUCAGGAAGUUCUGCGGUCAAGGCACAGCUUGGCUUUAUACAUUUUAGGGAGACAUGAGACAUCAUUCAGUACAUGUAAGAAGUACAUUGGUUUUGUGUGCAAAGGUGGGACAACUUGAAGCGAAGGCAGGAAGGAGGGAGCUUCCAGGUCACAGACAGGUGAUACACAAAUGAUUACAUUCUUUCGCGUUUCUCAUGAGCCUUUCCAAAGGAGGCAAAUCGGAUACGCAUCUAUCUCAGUGAGCAGAGGGAUGACUUUGAAUGGAAUGAGAGGCAGGUUUAUCCUGAGCAGCUUCCAGCUUGAGUUUUCCUUAGUGAUUUUAGGGGCCCAAGAUAACUUUCCUUUCACACUUCCAAGGCUGUUGCUGAACACACAGGAAUCCAGGAACAUUCUGGGGUUCAGUCCUUCCUCAGACUCUGCUGUUGAUACCUUACAUGGUUCCAUGCUGGCCCCAAGGACAUGCCCUUCGUUGGUGCCGAAUGUCAUUUGGUCAUGGAGGCUGAAAGUCAUUCUGGAGUUGAUGUUUCCAAGGUCAAAAACCUUGCUGGGGCUGUGGAAAGCACUCGUUGUUUGCUGGCCUGCUUUGUUGGUGACCAGCAUUGCACAUGGCUUUCUUUUCAGAUCAAACCCUACCUGGAGAAUUUCCAGAAGUAACAGCACCCUCAGGAGGCGGCCUGCAGCCAGAGCCCUCUCCAGGGCAGGUGCCUGAGGGCCACCCAUGGGACAGGCCCGAUUGUACCCAUGGUGCAUGUCAUCUGUUCCACUCCUGCUGACUCCGGUGCGUUCCGGGACCACCUUGGGAGGUGAUGCCUGCCCCGGGAAGGAGGCUCUGAUGCAGGUCAGUGCCCAUGGCUCCUGAAGGGAAGUUGUCUGUGACAUCUUUUCUUUCUUUACAGCAGGCCUCGCAUGGCUGGCCUCUUGCUCCACUUGUAGCAAGGCGCAGAGGGCUCUCUGAGCUCAUGCCAACGUCAGGGAAAGGAUUCUGCUGUCGGUCCCACUCCAAAGUUCACAGAAUGGGUGGUGGCACAGAAUCCGGACUCUGCUUGUGGCAUCCGUCGUCUGGCCCAAUGCUUGCUGGCUGCCCGCUCCAGGAGGCACCUUCUGGGUGUUCUCUGAGUCUGGGGAAGGUUGGGUUCUGAGGUCAGGGCUGCCCUGACCCUUGUGAAGAGAAGACAUCUGUGACUCACCUGCUUUCUUCUGCUGCAUUUAUCCCCCCAGUCCCUUAUUUUGAAUGUCUCACUUGCUUUAUGAGGCUAAUCAGAUGGUCAGCCAGCUGUUGAUAACUGUGAAGUUACCCUUUGAGGAUCCUGGGGUGAUGCCUCUGUGGGCUGGAGAUGGUGCUGGUGAGACCGCAGGUCUGGGGUCAGCGUUGUGCCCCGUUGAGCUCCUGCCAAAGGCAUCCUCUGCUGGGAGGGAGGCUCUGUGCUUGUGCAGGGGUCCCUACAGGGUCACCCCCUCUCAGGGUCUGGGAAUGAAAAGCGGGUGCGAGCAGGGUUUCAUUUUCAUCUUUAGCAAGGUGCCCAAGGAAGGUUGCCGUCUUUUCAGCAUAAGAUCCUACCUGGGUCUUGCACUCAACUUCUGGGAAGAGUCUCUAGAUUCAUUCUGGAAGGGGUUGGAAUCGUUGGACUUGGUGAUUGGGAACGUCCUUGGAGAGUGUGAGGCUCUGGGCUCUGAAUGCCCAGACCUUGUGCUGCCCUUGGGGGAAGGUCUUCUGCAAGCACAGCCGCCUGCAAGCAUCCACCUUAGUCCGAGCAUCUGAGCCUCUCCAUGGUACUCGGGGAGAGGUUACCCGAGCAACUUUGCAUCUGGACGACGAAUGUUGCUCGGUGAACCCCUUUUCGGUAUCAAAUUCCACCAGGGAGGCCGUCUUGGAGGCUGGGGCACCUCGGGGAAGGACGCCGGCAUCAGCACCAUUCUGGGUACGGGGAUGGAUGGUCGACCAGUUGGAAAGUAAUUGUUUCUAAUGUACUUCACCUGGUCCACUAGCCGUCCGUAUCCGCUGCAGCCUGUGGGGCCUGCGGGCCGGGGAGCUGAUCGCGCUUCAGCUCAGCGCCUUUCCUGGUACUUGAAGGGAGAUCGACCGUGUUAUAUUCGCUUUAUUGACUUCGAAUAAUACAUGGUUGAUCUUUUCUCAGUAUCAAAUCUCACCUUGGAGGACCCGUUGGAGAUGAAGCCCUUUUGAGGGUGGGAGCAGGACGGGUGCUUUGGAGUCGCUGCCUCAGUGGGGCCUGGUCACUGAGGGUGGGCCGGGCAGGGGUCUCUUUCCUGUCUCUGUGUCUUCUCACCUUUGGUCCCAUCCGUCCUCAGGACUGCUUCCCGGGGGCAACGCUGGCACCACGGGAUGCAGCAGCCACGUUCUUGAGCCGAUGGCACUCUGGGUACCUGAGAAGAGGUUGUCUGUGAUGAGUUCGCUUUUAUUAAUGACGAAUAUAACACAGAUGGCCUGUUUUCAGUACCGCUACCGCCCGGUGGUGUGCGGGUGCCAUGCCUGAGGCGGGACUUUCCAGGGUACGUGAAUGCAUGGGUUGGUGUGACAUUUGUCAUCCUUUCCCCUGACCCCCGCCAUCGAAUCAUUUUGGGAGAGCUUUCGGGGGGCCAUGUGGACUUUGGGGAAGAUGCUACGGUUGUGCACUGUGGUGGGGGGCAGUCAUGAAGCUGAUGAACAAUGGUGACGGGGCUCAGUCUGUUUUUCAUGGCCAGUGUCAUCGAGGUAGAGGACACGGGGGAGCUAGUCCCGCUGGAAGGCAUCCUGCUGGAAGGCCACCCGCCCCUCGCCAGGAUGUUGGGGGCGGCUGCAUGCAUUCCCUGUGCCCGGGCUGCCUUCUGCUCAUCCCAGUGCUGUGAGACCCUGGGUUGGAGCUGGUGCCUUGGGUGGCCGUGUGCGUGUGCUGCUCCUUGUGGUGCCUGAGGAGAGGUGGCCUGUGUUGCAUUCGCAGAAAUCAUGACACACAAGACACGAGUGGCCUCUCUUCAGUAUCAGAUCCCACCUGCAUGAUUCCUGCACCUGCUGAUGUCGGGAAGGUCCGGUUGCACGCCCUGUGGGCCCCCAGAGGCAUGGCUGGUGGCCGAGCAGGCGCUUGACUUCCACCUGCAGCCCUGUGCUGGCCUCCAUCCUGGAGGCGGGUGGCGGGUGGCAGGGCCCGUCCCUGAGGAAGAAGCCUCCUCCCUGGAGUCAGUGCUGCUCAAUGGUACCUGAAAUAGGUUGCCUGUGAGGUGUUCACUUUCUAUAUGAUGAAUAUUAUACAGUCAACCUCUUUCCGAUAUCGAAUCCCACCUUGGAUGCCUUCCUCUUUGCUGUCAACUCCAGGCAGCAGCUGGCUCUGCACUGGUUGACCCUCUGGACUUUGUGUAGGACCUGUGUCACUUGGCCUGUUAAUUUUCCAGCUCCACUCUGUUCUGGGGGCCUUUGGAAGUGUGACGGAAUGGCAUCCCCAAUUCCAGUGUCAGCGGGAGCACCCGCCAUGCCCUUGCUUCCGGUUGGCACAUCCCCCAGGCUGGGCUGGCUCUCAGCUACCUGAUGCUUAUGUCAUAUUUGCACCCCUGGCCUGCCCAGACUACAGGAAGAUGACCAGAGGCCUGUUUGCAGCUGACCUGGAGACUUAGUGACUCCAGAACAUGCUGCCCAUGCCCAGGGUCCAGGGCUGAAGGCAAGGAGCACCUCAGGAGUGACCCCAAAGAAUGAGCUAAGGCUGUCCUUUAUCACUCAUUGUUGAUCAGUGAGCUCCUGGGCUCGGGAGAUCUUCCUGAGCUGGGCUCCCGUCAUCCCCUGGUUGAGACGUCACUGCCUUGGAAGUCACAGCCUGUGCCUGCCCUCCCCCUUGUCCUUCUCCUCGGGACCGCUCCUCUCCAUGCCUAGCAUGGGAGUGGGGAUCCCUGGCACCAUCCCUCUGGGCUGCCUGCUCCCACUCUCCCUCAGCACCCCUCUUCCCCAGCCCCUGGGCCACAGCCCUGCUGGAGAGGCCGCCCCACAGGCUAGGUCCCUCCAGCCUGUGGCACUUGGGUCUCCCGCCAGUGCCCCCUCCCUCUGCCAGGGAGAGCAUUUCCAAGUGCAGAGUCCAACUGUUUAACUCCACUGCCCAAGGCACCUCUGCAGGCCCCUUCCCUCGGGCUUGGUGCCAAAAUGAUCCGAGGACUCCCCAGGCCCUCAGAGUGGCAGCCCCCCUCUUCUUUUGGAGCCACAGCCUAUCCCCCACGUGUUUUCAUCCUUCAUUCUGGCCUUGCACGCGCCCCUCCUUCCGGAGCUGGGUCCUGGGCUGCCCUGCUCUGCCCUCGGCUGCCUCCUGUCCAGGCUCUGGCCCUUCCUUCCUUAAAGGCCCACAUCCUUUGCAUUUUCCUUUCCCAGGGGUUCACAAUUCCCAAGGGGAUGGAAUGUCUCUUGUUCGGCAAGGUCAUCCCUGAUAACCCUAUAAAAGCAGCUCCCCUUGCCUCUUCCCCAUCACAUUCUACCAGUUGCCCCGUUACUGUUUUCUUCCUAGCUUACAGUUCUCUGAAACUGCCUAAUGUUAAUAUCUACCUUCUUUGUGCCCUAGACUGUGAGAUUUCUCAUUGGCAGAAAUUUCUCUCUCUCUCUCUCUCCUCUCUCUCAUCCCCUGCUGUGUUCAGUAGCAGAACAGUGAGUGUUUGUUGAUUGACUAAUGGAGUCCCCAAAGGCAGGGACCGGAUCAGAUGAAUUCCCAGGCAGGUGCUGGGCACAAAGUAGGCAGUCAAUAAGAUGUGGUGAUGGAGUACAUGAAUAUGUUAAUCGAUCUUUAGAAAUUCUUCCCAUUUGUUCAAAGCUGUUUGGUUUUCCAGCUUUUUCUGCCCUUCCAGGAUGAGGCUGAGAUUUGCUGCAGGAGGCACGAGUCAGCUGGGUCUGGGUUCUCUCUUCCACUUUUCAGGGGGUGGGGGCACCAAAGCCCCAGAGGAAGUGACAGGCCCUGUGUUCCCCUGCAGAUGCCGACUGAUCGCGCCCCCGCCCCUCCAGCAAACACCCCAGCGCUGAGAGCCAGAUGCUCUGGGGAACUCCAUCUGCAACGGGCUGGAGCGUGGUGUUAGGGCUCAUAUUUUAUGCAUGGGGCUGACUAAAUGGGAACAUUUGGAGAUGAAAAUUGCUGUUAAUGCAUCUACACAUCUUUGGAAUAUAUUAAAUGUGCGUGUGAGGGGAAGAGUGACAUUAGCCUUAUUUAAUAGCUUCAAGAUAACCAUCCCCGCACACCACGGUGUUAACAGGCACGGCCCCCCCCCCGAGUCUCCCAGGCCACCACUCGGGAAGACUGCUGGGUGCAUCACGCGCCACUUGAGAAUUAGGGGUGAGUCCAGCGUCAGCCCGGCAUGCAGCAGCGUGCAUGUUCCCCGCCGAUUUCUAACCCAAACACAGUGACCCUGUGCCACUCGAUGCAGAAUUUCAUUAAAAGCAAAAAUGAUUGAUUUAUCUAUUGUUUGCGGAGAAGAAAAAAUAAACAAAGGGCCUUUCUCAUCAGAUAAGCCAAAUGAGAACGUGUGCCCCCCAGGUGGCCGGGAUGAAAGUCUCCAUGGACCCUUCAACCAGAGGCUCCGUGGCUUGUCCCGUCUCCAGGGCGGUGUGUAAACCCUGCCGCCGGUCCAAGUCCACGAGGUGUGCUCCCUUCUCCAGUGCAAGGGCCCGGUUUAUCCCCACUAUGUCUCCUGGACGUGGUUGGGAAAUUGAACAACCUGGACCUCCGUUCCCAUUUCCUUGUUGUUUUCAGCGGGAGAUAAGAGGAGAAGUAAUAGCUGUCCUGUUGGGGCGCUUGCCUUGGUCCUGGGCCCCAUCAGCUGCUGUGAGGAGACAGUUUCUUUUCCACAGUUGAGGAAAUGGAGCACAGAGAGGUUGAGUGACUCAACCAAGGUCACCCAGCUGGAGGUGGGGCAGGGUCUGGCUCCAGGCCGUGUGCUCUUACUCACCCUGCUUGCAAGGGCUUUAGGAAUAGCCCCUGUGUCCUGGAAGACAGAUCGCUCACCGAGUGGGCCUCUUUUCUUGGUAUUAUAUGAUGAGGUAGGCUCACUUUCCCCCAGACUUAGCUUGCCAGAAUAUUCAUGGUUUUUUCUCUGUACUCACCUGUCGUCUCUCCAACAUGGUGCCAUCACCCAUGAAGUGGGAUGCUUUGGUGCGUGUCUGGCCUGGGGAGAGGGCUGCUUGCUUUGUCAGAAGACUCAAAGCAUGAUGGGCAUCCAAAUACCAAAGACCUAUGUUGACCUGUGUUUUUCACGCCGCUUGAUGGCCGUUGAGGGCUAUAUUCACUGCCUCGGUUGCAUGGAGUGAACAAGACCUAGUGAAGAUGGCGGGUGCGCUGAGACCAUCUGGUUGAUCUCUCCUGGGUGGGACCAGGUGCUCCCCUCACCACCCCCACCCUUGUCUGUGUACCACCACUCUGCACAGACACAUUGGCUGGUGCAGUCCUGGAGACCUACGGAGCUCACGGUCGUCAGGGGUCCUCAAGGAUUCAGAGAACCCCCAAAUGUCAGGGCUGCUCCCUUCUUGUCCUGCCUCUCUGCUCACACCCUUGGACAGGUAAGAAAACUGAGGUCCACAGAGGGGAGGGUGCCUUGCUGUGGCUUUUGUUCUGAGCACUGUCUCCCCAACUUUGGGGUUGAGACUCUGGGGUCAAGACCCACCUCUGAUGAACGAGCGGCUUCCUUCUUUGUAAAAAUUGAGGCGACCCAGACCAAGGAGGGCUGCAAAAUCACCAAGCCAGGACCUCAAUACCCAAGGGGCUGGGGUUUUGGCCACCCUGUGGCAGAGCUUUUAGAAGCCAGGGCCCUUGGCUCGGCAGUGCUGGCUCAUAGUAGGUGCUUAGUUCAUGCCUGUCUCCUUGGAUGAAAUCUGACCAUAGACACCAGUGCAAAGCAGGUGUUCAACACAGGAGGGUGUACUGAACCCGAUCUCUAUCACCAGGAGGAAGCACACAGGAGGCGCUCAGAGAACGUUUGUGGAAUGAAUAAAUAAAAGCAUAUUUUGAGGGAAUAAAGAAGCAGAAAAACAAAGAAGAAUCUGGGGAAGAUGGGCAUAAAUCUCCACCAAGUGCUGCCAAGGCUUCCCAGGCGAGGCUGCUGAAAAGACCCUGUGGAGCGGCUGCUCUGCCUGGGAUAAACACAUUUCAAGAGUCUCAGUCCCCGCUUUGCCACCAUCUCCUCCUCUGAUCUCCUUUCCUGCUUCAAAAGACUCCAGAAUCUUCUCGGUUCUCAGAGAAGGCUGAAUCCACCUAUGACCUGGUGGGUGAAUCCUGUGCCGAAACUGUUUACCUUCUGGUCCCCGGAGCCAUGGGUCACGACCUGGGCCUCAUGUGGGCCCGCUCCUCAGCAGACCCCAAUCUGCGGCUUCUCCCACCUCACUGGGGAAGAAGGAGAGCCCUGGGGAUGUGGAGAAGCCCCCCCCCCGCUCCGCCACAUCCCCCACAUCUUACAGAAUCUCGAUUGAAUCCGCGGGGGCACAUCCCUCAGCAGGACAGCAACAGUCUUUGCGGCGGCAUGGGGAGGGCUGUGCUGGGGAUGAGCGCCCAGUGGCCGUGGACUAAGUGAAGGAAAUGACCGUGCUCUUCUCCCAGCUGGAUGGCGAGGCCGGGCAGGAACCGCGGAAUUCCUGCUCUUCGUUUUCAAACACUUUGCUGUCAAGCUAUUUGAAUAAUAAAUACACAUUAUAAAAAUGUAAA